CUACGGGCCGCUGCAGUGAGGAAUAUUGCACAAUGGGGGGAACCCUGAUGCAGCAACGCCGCGUGGAGGAUGACGCAUUUCGGUGUGUAAACUCCUUUUAUAUGUCAAGAAAAUGACGGUAGCAUAUGAAUAAGCACCGGCUAACUCCGUGCCAGCAGCCGCGGUAAUACGGAGGGUGCAAGCGUUACUCGGAAUCACUGGGCGUAAAGGACGCGUAGGCGGGUUGGAAAGUCAGGUGUGAAAUCCUACAGCUUAACUGUAGAACUGCACUUGAAACUUCUAAUCUAGAGUAUGGGAGGGGGAGAUGGAAUUAGUGGUGUAGGGGUAAAAUCCGUAGAGAUCACUAGGAAUACCUAAAGCGAAGGCGAUCUCCUGGAACAUUACUGACGCUGAGGCGUGAAAGCGUGGGGAGCAAACAGGAUUAGAUACCCGUGUAGUC
Molecule: ribosomal RNA, 439 nt
Filed under: uncultured bacterium
Lineage: Bacteria
Description: partial 16S ribosomal RNA
Rfam family: Bacterial small subunit ribosomal RNA
Source: RNAcentral